This 256-nucleotide ribosomal RNA is filed under the name uncultured bacterium. RNAcentral describes it as "partial 16S ribosomal RNA". It matches the Rfam family "Bacterial small subunit ribosomal RNA", at positions 523 to 776 of the family's 1533-position model. The record is from RNAcentral.
UGACGAGGGGGGGCAAGCGUUGUUCGAAAAUUAUUGGGCGUAAAGGGUGCGUAGGCGGUCUGAUAAGUCAUCUGUGAAAUCUAUGGGCUCAACCCAUAGUCUGCAGGCGAAACUGUCGGGCUUGAGUAUGGGAGAGGUGAGUGGAAUUUCCGGUGUAGCGGUGAAAUGCGUAGAUAUCGGAAGGAACACCUGUGGCGAAAGCGGCUCACUGGACCAUUACUGACGCUGAUGCACGAAAGCUAGGGGAGCAAACAGG